RNAcentral lists this ribosomal RNA (127 nucleotides) under uncultured beta proteobacterium. RNAcentral describes it as "partial 16S ribosomal RNA". It matches the Rfam family "Bacterial small subunit ribosomal RNA", at positions 407 to 526 of the family's 1533-position model. Lineage: Bacteria; Pseudomonadati; Pseudomonadota; Betaproteobacteria. The record is from RNAcentral.
GAAGAAGGCCUUCGGGUCGAUAAGUACUUUCAGCGGGGAGGAAGGUGUUGUGGUUAAUAACCGCAGCAAUUGACGUUACCCGCAGAAGAAGCACCGGCAAACUCCGUGCCAGCAGCCGCGGUAAUAA